RNAcentral lists this long non-coding RNA (5740 nucleotides) under Sus scrofa (pig). RNAcentral describes it as "lncRNA (ENSSSCG00015015050.1)". The record is from RNAcentral. Lineage: Eukaryota; Metazoa; Chordata; Mammalia; Artiodactyla; Suidae.
UGGGGGAACCAAGAAUUUGGAUUGCAAAAUUGAGGAAAGCACUGAAACACCUGCUCUAGAGGACUCCUCAUCAUCCCCCAUAGAUACUCAGCAACAUUCCUGGCAGGUUUCCACAGACAUUGAGAACACUGAAAGAGAUAUGAGAGAAAUGAAAAACCUUUUAAGCAAACUCAGGGAAACUAUGCCUUUACCAUUGAAAAAUCAAGAUGACAGCAGCCUUCUAAAUCUAACCCCCUACCCCCUGGUUAGAAGACGGAAGAGAAGGUUCUUUGGGCUGUGCUGUCUCGUCUCAAGCUAGACAAUUGCUCUUGGAAACCCACACUGGGAAGACCUGAAAAUAUCACAGAACCUGAGGACCUCCAGACAGCUGAACCACAGUUAUUCGUUUUUGACCAUGUUUUCUAUGCUUCCUUAUUACUUUUAUCCACCUCCUGCUGCCCUUUUAAACGAUUUUACAUUUGAAAGCAGCUGCUGUCAAGGAAAAAAAAAAAAAAAACAGAUUCAAAAAGCAGGCUGUUUUUAAAAGGAUUUUUAAAGCUGACAUUGUGCAUGUCUAUGCCAAACCACACCAUGACAGAUGCAAGAAUUAUGAUUUUUAAAUUAUUUAAAGGUUUUUUUAAGUGUAUUAUACAGAGAAAAAUUAUUUCAUGUAUAAUAGUCUAUCUAUAGCUCUUGCUGAUCUCAUGUUAACAGUUUAUCAUAUAUGAGAGUCUUUAAACAUAGAAUCUAUUUAAAACUGCAAAACUAUUGAAAAUCCAAUCAAUAUUAGAAAUAAUAUUAUAAUCAAACGUAUAUCACCUCACCUAUUGCUUUCUCUGUACUCAUUUACAUUUAGUCUUCCAUUCUGUCAGAAUCUAAGAGCUGCAACAUAAAAUAUCUUAAUUUAUAAUGCAACAAAAAACAUAUAUGAAAAGUAUUUAAGUUUUGUAAAUACACAGUAAUCUUAAAACCUUCAUACAAUGCAUAUGGGCAUCUAAUUUCCUUUUGAUCCAAUGGUGUCUUUUUCACUUCUUGGAGAAUGAAGUAAUCCAGUUAGGAAAUGGUAUAGUAACCAUAUGCAAUUACCCUCAAAUGUAAAAUUGAAUAUUAUCAUAUUUUGUUCUAAUUGAAAUCUGAAGCAUGAUGUCUGCACAUCAGCAUAGUGUUAAAUCUUAUAGGGCAUGCUGGAAUUAGCUCAGAUCGUAAAAAUACUUAACAUUUUACAUUGUUAAUAAAAAUCCUUUUAGUUAAGCUAAGCUUGUCUCAUUUUAGAUGACUAUGCAGAUAGGACUUUUCCAGUGUGUACUUGGUGUCUUGUCUUAUGCUUAGAAUCUUAAAAGCAGGACACAUUAAGCAAUACUCUCUUUUAGAAAGGAGGAAGCCACAAGCUUUGUUUUUCUGCUCACAGCUUUGUUGUGAUCUUCCUCCACUAAACUGGUAACAUGGUACAGAUCUUGUUAUAUCUUCCCUUGUUCUUCCUUUGGCCCAUUUCCCAGACAGAAUUUCCCAUGGGUUGAAAGAUCAGGCCUUUGGACUUGUUUUCUUGUUUUCCAUAGUCUGAAAAUUCCUAAAGUCAGACCACAGGCACCAGUGUCCUGCACAAGAAAAGGGUGAGUUAUACGUGGUUUAUCCAAGACGCAUCUUUAAUCCCAACCCUGUAAUUUCUCAGUACUUAUGAGCACAGGCAUUUGUAUGUCCACCAAUAUCUUGACCUAAAAACUAAAUAUAUUCAAGCUUUCAGCUUUAGGGAAGAGGAAUAAAGAUACAGACAAACUAUUGGAAUAAUUAUUGUAUUAGGCUGAAUUACAUAAAAUUGCUGAUAUUUGACUGUUUAAACCUUAAAGAUGGCAAUUUCAUAUAGUUCAACCUAAUAUCUGAUGUUGUAGAAGUUAUCCUUGGAAUUGUUUUUCUACUUAUACUUUUUUUUAUUGAAAAUGAAGGAUUAAAGACUUGGAAGACAACUCAAAAGGCUAUGCAGGUCUCUAUUUGGAUCAUACCAGCUGGUUGUUGGCCUUAUUCUUGGAGUCCAGAGGUGUGUUCCAAUUAAUUAUUGAUGCCUGGGUAAAUGUAUGACUACCUUCGUAUUAAGAUAUAUCCUUAUCCUUGAAAGUUAUCUAAGAAAAAUCACAAUUUUUUAAAUCAUAUACUUAUAAAAAGAGUUGUGGGAAGAUUCUAAUUAAAGACUCCUAGGGUGACUGCUUCCUUGCAAAGCAGGUAACCACUCCCAAAUUUACAUGGUCUGCAAACCCUGAUUUUCAUAAGUAAAAACGCUGAGUGCAGUUCAUUUUCAUCCCCUGAAGUUUAAUCCACUUCAAGUCCAUUGUUUUAGAAAUUAUGAAGUAGCUCAAUUUGGCAUGCUCUCAGCUCCCAUCUAUGCCCUCUCCCACCCUUCCACUAUAUUGAACCCUUAGCAUCAAUCUAGUUCCUAUUAAUCCAUGCAAUGUUAUUAACAGAUAAACUCAGCCUUGGUGUCCAGCAUAUUCUGCUAAAUGCCUGACCCAAAUCCCUUCUGCUUGGUUAAUUUGUGCUCACUCUUGCCUUAGUCUCAGUGUGAAAGUAACACCUUCCGUGCAAUUGUCUUUGUACAACUGAAGACUGUUAAUAAAUUCAGGUCUCACCUCCAUGUCUGGGGAGGGCUAUAGUAGCUAUUCAUGGAGAUGGGGAUUUGUCCAAUUCCCUAGCUAGGCUUUCCAUAUCUAAGGUAAAUAAAUUCUGCCACCUUAUCUUUUAUUCAUAGUGCCUGUUUCCCAGCCUUUGAUCAAUUUUGUAGUUCCCGUGGACACACUCCAAGAUUUACAGAUCUUCUCUUACUCUGGCUGGUCCUAAAAUCAAAUUUAGUGUUCAAAGUGCUAGUAACCUACCCUGGCUCAGAGUUGCAAUAGGUAAUUCACCAUCUCCUAUUAAAUACACUAAUGAACCUUGUUAGGAGCUAACCCCAUUCCCCUCUCGCCUACCAAAGGACUUUCUCAGGUGUAGUUCCGUGAGAUAGAGUUGGACUAUCUCAGCUUCCUGCUGAUAAUUUGCUUUCAGAUUAGCAAUAACAUUACGCUGAUCUCUAGGGAUAAGGAGAGCCCAAUGAACUCAUUUUGUUGCAUGUACUCAUAUGCUUGAAACAAACAAAAAAAGGAUGUCAAGUUUUUCUAGCACAUAAUCACCCAUUUUAGCACCAUAUUUUUAAAAUCCAGUGGUUGAUCUUUUUUGGUUUUUUUGUUUUUUUUUUUUUUUUAAUUAUAGAGACAAUACAUGUUCUUUGUGGAAAAUUUGAAAAAUGCCACCAAGUGUAAAGAAAAUAAAAAUCACCUGAAUGCCACCAUAAUCACAUUAUUUAAAACCACAUGUCCAGGUUUUAAAUCAGUCAUUGGCUGGGCUUAAAGGCAAUGUUGGAUAAAGUAUGUGAAGAAAUGCCCACAAGGCCAAAGGGCCACUUUAAAAGAUCUGUCCCGUAACAGACAUGCAUGCAUCUAGGAAGAGAUUCAUUGCAUAGUUCGGAUUUUGCCAUUGUUCAAGGGUACAAAGAAGAUUUUAUAAGUGCCAUAGCCCUGAUGUUUCUUCUAAUGAAAGUUCUUGGGAAAUUCUAAAAUCCUGCCAGAUCCUUUUGUUCCUCGGUGCUCCUAUCAGUUUGGAUACUUACUCUUUGGCAAUACUGCCACCUACCGAAAGCUAAGCUUUAGCGUUAGAGGGGAAAACAAAUACACAGAGCCUAAAGCAUCUGAUUGACUUUAGAUAGCUCACAAAUUAGGCCAGUUAACAGUGAUGUCAUAUGGAAUUUCAGAUUCUGGAAGUCCCCAGAUUGAAAGGAUUAUGGAUAUCCAUCUAGACCAAUUUCUCACUAUCCCCCAACAUACAUGCCUUAGCAAUGUCUACCAUUCCUUUGCAUUCUAGAACAUUAUCAAAUGCAACAUGUUCAGCUUUCAAGUAACUAUAGAUAGGAUGAGAAAUGGUCCAGAAUAAACCAUUAAAAUUAAAUAUAAGGUUCCAAAAUAAACCCAAGAAGAAUUGAAUACAUUAAAAAGAUGGCAUUUCAAAUGUGUGAGAAAAGGUUGGAUUAUUAAGUUAUAGUUGGAUAAAUGGUUAGCCAUCCGUUGGGGGAAAUAUUAGCUCUAUACCUCAUAACUGUCAUAAAAAAUAAACUCUAGGUGAAGUGAGUAUUUAAAUGUUAAAGCACAUAAAUAAACUGUUAGUACUGAUGAAUAUUUAUGUAAUUUUAGUGGGGUGGAGGGAAGUACAGCUAAACAUGACAGUAAAGGAAGAAACCCCAAAGGAAAAGAUGGGUGGAUUUGACCAAUUAAAAAUGCAAAACUCCCGCACAGUAAAAAGUAAUAAAAAAGAUUAAGAGAAAGCAAAAUUUUAAAUAUAUGCAACAAAGAGUACAGAUCUCUACUAUAUAUCAAGAGCUUAAAUUCCACCACCUUUGUGAAGUUUCCAUGAUCUAUAACCCCCUUCCCAGCCAGGUGUUCCCAUUUCAUUCUUUCCUUUUCCUUUUUACACUUUUUUCAUUAUUGCUUGUUUAAUUGUCUCUCUUCACUAAACUGGAAGUUCUAGAAGGAAGCCACUAUGUCAAUUUUGCUUACUGUUAUAUCCUCAGCAUAGUGCUCAACACAAAAGCAAAUACUCCAGACACACUUAUUGAAUGAAUGAAUAAUGAUUGCAUGAACAAAUGAUAUUUUACAACUCAAAAAGAAUCAAACUUUCCAGUAGAAAAUUGAGCCAAGCACACAUAAACUGGCAAUGUACCAUAAAUUUAAAUAGUGUGCUAAUAAUAAAUACAAAAAUAUCUGAAUAUACUAGUAAUCAAAAAUGCAAGUUAUUAUGAUGGACUCUUUUUCCAUGUAUCAGAAAGUCAAGGGUAUAAAUAAUUAAUGUUUCCAGAAACAGCAAGGAAGUAUGGAAGUGAACAUCUUCUCAAAGAGCCAACAAGUAUGUAAAUUGACUCCACCUUUAUGGAAAAUAUUUUGACAGUAUAUUUUUCGCCUAUACCAAGUAAUUCCACUAUAGGGAAAUUCUCCUCUAAAAAAGGUCAGAAAGGUCAGAAAAGGCCUAAAAGGUCAGAAAAAAAUGAAGUAAGAUACACUCAUUCAUUAUUCAAAAAAUUAUGCAAGGAAGGAUGCUUAUUUGUAAGAAUGGGAAAAAAUGUAAAUAAGCCCACAGUAUAAGGCUAGUUAAGUGUGGCAUAUCCUUUCAAUGGAAUAACAUUCACCAAUUAAGACUAAACACCCUAUAUAUAUUUAUUGAAAUGAACUAUGUUGUUAAAUGAAAACAGUUAUAGAAGAAUAUGUAUUGUAUCAUCUCACUUUGAAAAUAUACGUAUACAUGUACGCAUUAAAGGGUCUGAAAAGAUAUUUGCUAAAAUGUUAACAGCAUUUUUCUAUAGGAGGUGAGAUUUGGAGCAAUUAUAUUAUUUUGCAUAUCUGUACUUUCUGAUUUUUCCACAAUGAGCAUGUAGUAUCUGUAUAAUUUUUUCAGGGAAUAAAUAAUAAUGUUCACAAUAUAUAUUCAAUGAAAACACAUUAUAAAACAGUAUGUAUAGUAUGACACAAUAUUUGUAAAAAAAGAAAAAUAUAUAUGAAUCUAUCUAUGUAUGUAUAUAUAUGCAUAAGAAAGCUAGAAGGACAUACACUAAAAUGUUAAUAGUAGUUAUUUAUGGGUAGUGGGAUUAUGGGUGAUUAUUUUUUCUUUUUGCUUUUCUGUGUUUUCUAAUUUUUCUACAAUGAAUAUGUAUUACUUGUGUAAUAAAAACUAAUAAUAAAAGUUUUAAAAAAAA